RNAcentral lists this long non-coding RNA (7932 nucleotides) under Xyrichtys novacula (pearly razorfish). Lineage: Eukaryota; Metazoa; Chordata; Actinopteri; Labriformes; Labridae. The record is from RNAcentral.
UAGGGCCCGAGCCAGCUGCAGAGCAGCCGGGCGUAGGCCCUAUUAUUCCCCAAGUGGUUUUUCUUUGUUUCUUUCUUUCUUUUUAGGGCCCGAGCCAGCUGCAGAGCAGCCGGGCGUAGGCCCUGUUAUUCCUGUAGGGGUUUUUCUUUGUUUCUUUCUUUCUUCUUUUUCCUCCCCUUUGAACUGGAAAAUGGCCCACUUCACACUGGCGAAAACUCAGGAAAUUUGGCAGGACGACCGGGCCUGGUGAAAAAUUUGAUAUUCCGAAGUCGCCCAAACAAGAAAAUGCAAAAUGGCUCCAUAGCGCCCCCUAAGGUGAAAAUUCACACUAUUGACUGUCACGCCUGUACGCUUUGUCAAAAUGACACAAAAAUUGACACACACAUGUAUCUCAAUAAGAUCUACAAAAAAGUCAGUGCGGGCGUAUCUGUCAAAUGUACGGUUAAAGGGUUAUUUCGCAUUUUUUGCCGAUCCGCACACAUUGGAAUUUCGCUAACUCCUCCGAAGGCUUUCGUUCCACCGGCACCACAUUUGCUCAGGCCAAUCUACACCCCAUGGCCAUUAAAAGUUAUUCAAAUCAUGACGCUGCACCCCACGGUUUAGGUUCUAGGGGGCGCCAAAGAUAACCCUAAAAUCCACAUUUUUAAAAGUCUUAUAACUUUUUAUUUUUGCCCUCACUGGCCUCCAAGUUUUCUAGGAUGAUGCAAUGUCCAGCCAUCAACACAUUUGUGAAGGAAUUUUUACUCCCCAAAAGAGCGCCCCCCCAUGGCAGGAGAAAAAAGUCCAUUUUUUUCUUGUCCCCUAAGGUGAAAAUACACAUUGUUGACUGUCACGCCUGUACGCUUUGUCAAAAUGACACAAAAAUUGACACACACAUGUAUCUCAAUAAGAUCUACAAAAAAGUCCACGCGCGCGUAUCUGUCAAAUGUACGGUUAAAGGGUUAUUGCGCAUUUUUUGCCGAUUCGCACACAUUGGAAUUUCGCUAACUCCUCCGAAGGCUUUCGUUCCACCGGCACCACAUUUGCUCAGGCCAAAUUACACCCCAUGGCCAUUAAAAGUUAUUCAAAUCAUGAUGCUGCACCCCACGGUUUACGUUCUAGGGGGCGCCAAAGAUAACCCAAAAAUCCACAUUUUUAAAAGUCUUAUAACUUUUUAUUUUUGUCCUCACUGGCCUCCAAGUUUUCUAGGAUGAUGCAAUGUCCAGCCAUCAACACAUUUGUGAAGGAAUUUUUACUCCCCAAAAGAGCGCCCCCCAUGGCAGGAGAAAAAAGUCCAUUUUUUCUUGUCCCCUAAGGUGAAAAUACACAUUGUUGACUGUCACGCCUGUACGCUUUGGCAAAAUGACACAAAAAUUGACAAUCAUGUGUAUCUCAAUUAGAUCUACGAAAAAGUCAAAGAGCGCGUAUCUGUAUAAUGUACGGUAAAAGGGCUAUUUUGCAUUUUUUGCCGAUUCGCACACAUUGGAAUUUCGCUAACUCCUCCUAAGGCUUUCGUCCCACUGACACCAAAUUUGCUCAGGCCAAUCUACACUCCAUGGCCAUUCAAAGUUGUAAAAAUCAUGACGCUGCACCCCACGGUUUACGUUUUAGGGGGCGCCAAAGAUGACCCAAAUAUACAUUACAGUAGACAAAGUAGUUUUGCCCACUGAGUGGCGCCAAAGGGACUUGUCUGUGGAGUCUGUGAGUCACUAUUGGCCGUUUUUGACUACUUUAGAUUUUACCUUUAUAUUUCCUCUUACAAAAUUUUUACCUUGCCUUGCCUGGUAUCAUUUUUUUCAGCACAACCUCACCUGUGUCAAUUUACAGUUAUUUUAUCAUUUUGACAUACUAUAUUUACACAUUGGACCCAAAUUCACACACAAAACAUAAAAUCCGAGUGGAAAAAAGUAACGUUUUUACUGUGAAAACCACAAAUAUGUGUGAUGAACUGUUUUUAAAACUUUAACUUCAAAUAAAAAUUGUAAACUUAAAAACAUAUGCAAAUUUUUAACAAAGAACAUAGUAAUUUACCUCUAUUUACAUCAAAAUGCAGGCAAUGGCCCAGGUGUUCUUUGUAAAAUUAUUUACAAAACACUGUAUAGUCUCACAAAUGUCACUUUUUAUUUAUGCCACUACAAAAAAACAUGAUGUAAAUGAUGCAUGAUGUAAAACAUGAUGUAAAAAACUUGUGUAGAUCCUCCUCUAUGUUAGUCCAUGUGUAAUUUUUCCAUAAUUCUUUGUUUUUUGCAGCAUUUUUGUUAGUGUAACUGCAGAUUGUGCUGACAGUGUCUAUGGCAAAAAAAAAAAAAAAACUGAAAAUGCCUCAACAUGAACCCCUGGUGGUCUCUGAGGGUGAAACCUGCUAACUGCUGCAGCUCUGUCAGCUUCAGUCUCCCAUGCAGAGCUCUGAGCGCAUGUGUGGCUCUGCACCCUUAGCAGCGUUGCUAACUCCUCAGUAAGGAAAGCCUGCUUCAUGUCAGAGUCUCUAAACUCCAGAAGAAGUCGAUAAAAGUCACUUUCUUUCUAAAAAAAAAGUCGUUAGGGGGUCUGAAAAGUCAUUGAAUCUAACAACAAAGUCGCUAGGUUUGCAACUACGUGUCCCAGACUGCAUCCCUGCUGAGAGUCCCUCCCUCCCUUCUCAUAUUGCAGGAAGAACGUAAGUUCCCGCCCCUUGUCAAUCAGUCACCAUAUAAUUUUGGAUUGGUUGUUGUGGUGAAGUUUUCCACCAAUAGGAGAGAUGUUGUGGUGUGUUUUUUUUUUUCCUUUGGCAAGCCUUUUCCGCCUGUAAGACCUGUCGCUAAUGUCUGCAUGCUAUGUUUUCCUGUCUCAUACAGCGCGAUCGAGCGCCGAACGUGAUCAAAAUAAGCAGAAAACAAGUAUCGUGGACAUAAUUUAUCAUAACUCUGGUUUUAUUUGGCCUAUCAACACAAUUUAAAAACUGGUAUAUAGGUUGAGGUCCUCACUUUUGAGAUAAAUUGAAACGGAGAAUCAACGAGGCUCCGUCUUGCAGCUACAUCCGGUUAAAUAUGUCAUGUGACUUGAACGCACACACACACACACACACACACACACACACACACGCACAGACACAGACACACGCACACACACACACUCAGAGUCUGGUUUUUAGCACCUGCAAAAACAUGCUAUUUACAUAUUUGACAAGAAUGCAGAGGCUCCUUUUGCCCCUGAAAAAAAUCAAAUUUCAAACACAACUUGACUGGUCAUUUCUCCAAAAGACAACCAUGAAGCUCCAUCCAAACCUGAAGCAGGCAGUUGGUGCAUGUGUACAGUAACCUGAGGGGAGUGAGGUGACUGCUUCUGAGGAGAACAUGAGCAGUGAAGAUUCACCUUAGAGCUAGAACAGAGACGUGCACAUGAUUAUACAGGGGCAGGGGCUCAAGUUUUUUCCAGUUGUUUAUACAAUAUGGAAAUUAAUGUGAAAUUAAAAAACAAAGUAUUAAUAGAAAGGUAAUGACUGUCCUGUGUAGGUGACAGUGAUAUCCAAUAGGCUAGGCACUCACGAGGCUGGCUGUGGCAAGUGUAAGUGAAAGCAACACGCACUGGCAGGAAGAACAGCAAACGCCGAUGAAGGAAAAGGGUCUUUGCAGUGAUGGGCGUUACCAGAGAGGGCGAUGGCCAGAGGACACAAAUGGGACGGGGAGGCAGCGCGUUGGGGGGGGGACGCGACACAGCUCGGGCCCGCCAGUGCCCCAACGGGGUCCUAGUUAGGGCCCGAGCCAGCUGCAGAGCAGCCGGGCGUAGGCCCUAUUAUUCCCCAAGUGGUUUUUCUUUGUUUCUUUCUUUCUUUCUUUCUUUCUUUCUUUCUUUCUUCUUUUUCCUCCCCUUUGAACUGGAAAAUGGCCCACUUCCCACUGGCGAAAACUCAUGAAAUUUGGCAGGACGACCGGGCCUGGUGAAAAAUUCGAUAUUCUGAAGUCGCCCAAACAAUAAAAUGCAAAAUGGCUCCAUAGCGCCCCCUAAGGUGGAAAUUCACACUAUUGACUGUCACGCCUGUACGCUUUGUCAUAUUGACACAAAAAUUGACACACAUAUGUAUCUCAAUAAGAUCUACAAAAAAGUCAGUGCGGCCGUAUCUGUCAAAAUUACGGUUAAAGGGUUAUUUCGCAUUUUUUGCCGAUCCGCACACAUUGGAAUUUCGCUAACUCCUCCGAAGGCUUUCGUUCCACCGGCACCACAUUUGCUCAGGCCAAUCUACACCCCGUGGCCAUUAAAAGUUAUUCAAAUCAUGACGCUGCACCCCAAGGUUUAGGUUCUAGGGGGCGCCAAAGAUAACACUAAAAUCCACAUAUUUAAAAGUUCUAUAACUUUUUAUUUUUGUCCUCACUGGCCUCCAAGUUUUCUAGGAUGAUGCAAUGUCCAGCCAUCAACACAUUUGUGAAGGAAUUUUUACUCCCCAAAAGAGCGCCCCCCCAUGGCAGGAGAAAAAAGUCCAUUUUUUCUUGUCCCCUAAGGUGAAAAUACACAUUGUUGAGUGUCACGCCUAUACGCUUUGUCAAAAUGACACAAAAAUUGACACACACAUGUAACUCAAUAAGAUCUACAAAAAAGUCAAUGCGCGCGUAUCUGUCAAAUGUACAGUUAAAGGGUUAUUCCGCAUUUUUUGCCGAUACGCACACAUUGGAAUUUCGCUAACUCCUCCGAAGGCUUUCGUUCCACCGGCACCACAUUUGCUCAGGCCAAUCUACACCCCAUGGCCAUUAAAAGUUAUUCAAAUCAUGAUGCUGCACCCCAUGGUUUAGGUUCUAGGGGGCGCCAAAAAUAACCCAAAAAUCCACAUUCUUAAAUGUUUUAUAACUUUUUAUUUUUGUCCUCACUGGCCUCCAAGUUUUCUAGGAUGAUGCAAUGUCCAGCCAUCAACACAUUUGUGAAGGAAUUUUUACUCCCCAAAAGAGCGCCCCCCCAUGGUAGGAGAAUAAAGUCAAUUUUUUCUUGUCCCCUUACAUAAAAAUACACAUUGUUGAGUGUCACGCCUGAACGCUUUGUCAUAUUGACACAAAAAUUGACAAUCAUGUGUAUCUCAAUUAGAUCUACGAAAAAGUCAAAGAGCGCGUAUCUGUAUAAUGUACGGUUAAAGGGCUAUUUUGCAUUUUUUGCCGAUUCACACACAUUGGAAUGUGGCUAUCUCCUCCUAAGGCUUUCGUCCCACCGAUACCAAAUUUGCUCAGGGCAAUCUACACCCCAUGCCCAUUCAAAGUUGUAAAAAUCAUGACGCUGCACCCCACGGUUUACGUUCUAGGGGGCGCCAAAGAUGACCCAAAAAUCCACAUUCUUAAAAGUCAUUUUGGCCACUGCAGGAGUACAGAGUACUGCAGUUCUAGGGGGCGCCAAAGAUGACCCAAAAAUCCACAUUCUUAAAAGUCUUUUUGGCCACUGCAGGAGUACAGAGUACUGCAGGAUACACACACAUAUACACACACGCCAACAUACACACACACACACACACACACACACACACACACACACAGACACACACACACACUCAGAGUCUGUUUUUUAGCACCUGCAAAAACAUGCUGUUUACAUAUUUGACAAGAAUGCAGAGGCUUCCUUUUGCCCCUGAAAAAAAUCAAAUUUCAAACACAACUUGACUGUUCAUUUCUCCAAAAGACAACCAUGAAGCUCCAUUUCAAACCUGAAGCAGAUAGUUGGUGCAUGUGUACAGUAACCUGAGGGGAGUGAGGUGACUAUUUCUGAGGAGAACAUGAGCAGUGAAGAUUCACCUUGGAGCUAGAACAGGGACGUGCACAUGAUUAUACAGGGGCAGGGGCUCAAGUUUUUUCCAGUCAUUUAUACAAUAUGGAAAUUAAUGUGAAAUUAAACCACAAAUAUGUGUGAUGAACUGUUUUUAAAACUUAAACUUCAAAUAAAAAUUGUAAACUUCAAAACAUAUGCAAAUUUUUAACAAAGAACAUAGUAAUUUACCUCUAUUUACAUCAAAAUGCAGGCAAUGGCCCAGGUGUUCUUUGUAAAAUUAUUUACAAAACACUGUAUAGUCUCACAAAUGUCACUUUUUAUUUAUGCCACUACAAAAAAACAUGAUGUAAAUGAUGCAUGAUGUAAAACAUGAUGUAAAAAACUUGUGUAGAUCCUCCUCUAUGUCAGUCCAUGUGUAAUUUUUCCAUAAUUCUUUGUUUUUUGCAGCAUUUUUGUUAGUGUAACUGCAGAUUUUGCUGACAGUGUCUAUGGCACAAAAAAAAAAAAAAUUAAAAUGCCUCAACAUGAACCCCUGGUGGUCUCUGAGGGUGAAACCUGCUAACUGCUGCAGCUCUGUCAGCUUCAGUCUCCCAUGCAGAGCUCUGAGCGCAUGUGUGGCUCUGCACCCUUAGCAGCGUUGCUAACUCCUCAGUAAGGAAAGCCUGCUUCAUGUCAGAGUCUCUAAACUCCAGAAGAAGUCGAUAAAAGUCCCUUUCUUUCUAAAAAAAAGUCGUUAGGGUGUCUGAAAAGUCAUUGAAUCUAACAACAAAGUCGCUAGGUUUGCAACUACGUGUCCCAGACUGCAUCCCUGCUGAGAGUCCCUCCCUCCCUUCUCAUGUUGCAGGAAGAACGUAAGCGCCCGCCCCUUGUCAAUCAGUCACCAUAUAAUUUUGGAUUGGUUGUUGUGGUGAAGUUUUCCACCAAUAGGAGAGAUGUUGUGGUGUGUUUUUUUUUUCUUUUGGCAAGCCUUUUCCGCCUGUAAGACCUGUCGCUAAUGUCUGCAUGCUAUGUUUUCCUGUCUCAUACAGCGCGAUCGAGCGCCGAACGUGAUCAAAAUAAGCAGAAAAAAAGUAUCGCGGACAUAAUUUAUCAUAACUCUGGUUUUAUUUGGCCUAUCAACACAAUUUAAAAACUGGUAUAUAGGUUGAGGUCCUCACUUUUGAGAUAAGUUGAAACGGAGAGUCAACGAGGCUCCGUCUUGCAGCUACAUCAGGUUAAAUAUGUCAUGUGACUUGAACGCACACAUAGACACACACACACGCACACACACACGCACACACACACACACACACACACACACACACUCAGAGUCUGGUUUUUAGCACCUGCAAAAACAUGCUAUUUACAUAUUUGACAAGAAUGCAGAGGCUCCUUUUGCCCCUGAAAAAAAUCAAAUUUCAAACACAACUUGACUGGUCAUUUCUCCAAAAGACAACCAUGAAGCUCCAUCCAAACCUGAAGCAGGCAGUUGGUGCAUGUGUACAGUAACCUGAGGGGAGUGAGGUGAGUGCUUCUGAGGAGAACAUGAGCAGUGAAGAUUCACCUUGGAGCUAGAACAGAGACAUGCACAUGAUUAUACAGGGGCAGGGGCUCAAGUUUUUUCCAGUCGUUUAUACAAUAUGGAAAUUAAUGUGAAAUUAAAACACAAAGUAUUAAUAGAAAGGUAAUUACUGUCCUGUGUAGGUGACAGUGAUAUCCAAUAGGCUAGGCACUCACGAGGCUGGCUGUGGCAAGUGUAAGUGAAAGCAACACGCACUGGCAGGAAGAACAGCAAACGCCGAUGAAGGAAAAGGGUCUUUGCAGUGAUGGGCGUUACCAGAGAGGGCGAUGGCCAGAGGACACAAAUGGGACGGGGAGGCAGCACGUUGGGGGGGGGGGGAUGCGACACGGCUCGGGCCCGCCAGUGCCCCAACGGGGUCCUAGUUAGGGCCCGAGCCAGCUGCAGAGCAGCCGGGCGUAGGCCCUAUUAUUCCCCAAGAGGUUUUUCUUUGUUUCUUUCUUUCUUUCUUUCUUUCUUCUUUUUCCUCCCCUUUGAACUGGAAAAUGGCCCACUUCCCACUGGUGAAAACUCAUGAAAUUUGGCAGGACGACCGGGCCUGGUGAAAAAUUCGAUAUUCUGAAGUCGCCCAAACAAUAAAAUGCAAAAUGGCUCCAUAGCGCCCCCUAAGGUGGAAAUUCACACUAUUGACUGUCACGCCUGUACGCUUUGUCAUAUUGACACAAAAAUUGACACAC